AUUGAACGCUGGCGGCAGGCCUAACACAUGCAAGUCGAACGAGUGGCGGACGGGUGAGUAAUGUCUGGGAAACUGCCCGAUGGAGGGGGAUAACACCUGGAAACGGUAGCUAAUAUCCCGUAUCCUCUGAUGUGCCCCGAUGGGAUUUGCUGGUGGUGGUGGUAACGGCUCACCUAGGCGACGAUCCCUAGCUGGUCUGAGAGGAUGACCAGCCACACUGGAACUGAGACACGGUCCAGACUCCUACGGGAGGCAGCAGUGGGGAAUAUUGCACAAUGGGCGCAAGCCUGAUACAGCCAUGCCGCGUGUAUGAAGAAGGCCUUCGGGUUGUAAAGUACUUUCAGCGGGGAGGCGUUACCCGCAGAAGAAGCACCGGCUAACUCCGUGCCAGCAGCCGCGGUAAUAC
This 406-nucleotide ribosomal RNA is filed under the name uncultured bacterium. RNAcentral describes it as "partial 16S ribosomal RNA". It matches the Rfam family "Bacterial small subunit ribosomal RNA", at positions 30 to 526 of the family's 1533-position model. The record is from RNAcentral.